This 213-nucleotide long non-coding RNA is filed under the name Capsicum annuum. RNAcentral describes it as "long non-coding RNA (CANN_LNC018454)". Lineage: Eukaryota; Viridiplantae; Streptophyta; Magnoliopsida; Solanales; Solanaceae. The record is from RNAcentral.
UGGUUGAAACUUGGCUUUUGGAUAGGGUUAGAAAGAAAGGAUAGUAUGAGGCCCAAACAAAACUUGAAGUGGGGUAGGGCUUACAACUUUUAGAAUCGACUCAAACAAUGAGGAUUAACUUAUGCCCCAAUUUCUUUUAGCUGAGUGAUUCUAAAUUGUUUAUUUGGUUGGAUCAAGCCAAGAGUUGGGCAAUCUACGUAUUUUACUCCUGAG